Molecule: ribosomal RNA, 2534 nt
Filed under: Salmonella enterica subsp. enterica serovar Schwarzengrund
Lineage: Bacteria; Pseudomonadati; Pseudomonadota; Gammaproteobacteria; Enterobacterales; Enterobacteriaceae
Description: partial 23S ribosomal RNA
Rfam family: Bacterial large subunit ribosomal RNA
Source: RNAcentral
CGUGGUAUCCUGUCUGAAUAUGGGGGGACCAUCCUCCAAGGCUAAAUACUCCUGACUGACCGAUAGUGAACCAGUACCGUGAGGGAAAGGCGAAAAGAACCCCGGCGAGGGGAGUGAAAAAGAACCUGAAACCGUGUACGUACAAGCAGUGGGAGCACCCUUUGGGGUGUGACUGCGUACCUUUUGUAUAAUGGGUCAGCGACUUAUAUUCUGUAGCAAGGUUAACCGAAUAGGGGAGCCGGAGGGAAACCGAGUCUUAAUUGGGCGUUAAGUUGCAGGGUAUAGACCCGAAACCCGGUGAUCUAGCCAUGGGCAGGUUGAAGGUUGGGUAACACUAACUGGAGGACCGAACCGACUAAUGUUGAAAAAUUAGCGGAUGACCUGUGGCUGGGGGUGAAAGGCCAAUCAAACCGGGAGAUAGCUGGUUCUCCCCGAAAGCUAUUUAGGUAGCGCCUCGUGAAUUCAUCUCCGGGGGUAGAGCACUGUUUCGGCUAGGGGGCCAUCCCGGCUUACCAACCCGAUGCAAACUGCGAAUACCGGAGAAUGUUAUCACGGGAGACACACGGCGGGUGCUAACGUCCGUCGUGAAGAGGGAAACAACCCAGACCGCCAGCUAAGGUCCCAAAGUCAUGGUUAAGUGGGAAACGAUGUGGGAAGGCCCAGACAGCCAGGAUGUUGGCUUAGAAGCAGCCAUCAUUUAAAGAAAGCGUAAUAGCUCACUGGUCGAGUCGGCCUGCGCGGAAGAUGUAACGGGGCUAAACCAUGCACCGAAGCUGCGGCAGCGACGCUGAUGCGUUGUUGGGUAGGGGAGCGUUCUGUAAGCCUGCGAAGGUGGCCUGUGAGGGUUGCUGGAGGUAUCAGAAGUGCGAAUGCUGACAUAAGUAACGAUAAAGCGGGUGAAAAGCCCGCUCGCCGGAAGACCAAGGGUUCCUGUCCAACGUUAAUCGGGGCAGGGUGAGUCGACCCCUAAGGCGAGGCCGAAAGGCGUAGUCGAUGGGAAACGGGUUAAUAUUCCCGUACUUGGUGUUACUGCGAAGGGGGGACGGAGAAGGCUAUGUUGGCCGGGCGACGGUUGUCCCGGUUUAAGCGUGUAGGUGUGUGUUCCAGGUAAAUCCGGUUCACUUUAACACUGAGGCGUGAUGACGAGGCACUACGGUGCUGAAGCAACAAAUGCCCUGCUUCCAGGAAAAGCCUCUAAGCAUCAGGUAACAUCAAAUCGUACCCCAAACCGACACAGGUGGUCAGGUAGAGAAUACCAAGGCGCUUGAGAGAACUCGGGUGAAGGAACUAGGCAAAAUGGUGCCGUAACUUCGGGAGAAGGCACGCUGACACGUAGGUGAAGUGAUUUACUCAUGGAGCUGAAGUCAGUCGAAGAUACCAGCUGGCUGCAACUGUUUAUUAAAAACACAGCACUGUGCAAACACGAAAGUGGACGUAUACGGUGUGACGCCUGCCCGGUGCCGGAAGGUUAAUUGAUGGGGUCAGCGCAAGCGAAGCUCCUGAUCGAAGCCCCGGUAAACGGCGGCCGUAACUAUAACGGUCCUAAGGUAGCGAAAUUCCUUGUCGGGUAAGUUCCGACCUGCACGAAUGGCGUAAUGAUGGCCAGGCUGUCUCCACCCGAGACUCAGUGAAAUUGAACUCGCUGUGAAGAUGCAGUGUACCCGCGGCAAGACGGAAAGACCCCGUGAACCUUUACUAUAGCUUGACACUGAACAUUGAGCCUUGAUGUGUAGGAUAGGUGGGAGGCUUUGAAGUGUGGACGCCAGUCUGCAUGGAGCCGGCCUUGAAAUACCACCCUUUAAUGUUUGAUGUUCUAACGUGGACCCGUGAUCCGGGUUGCGGACAGUGUCUGGUGGGUAGUUUGACUGGGGCGGUCUCCUCCUAAAGAGUAACGGAGGAGCACGAAGGUUGGCUAAUCCUGGUCGGACAUCAGGAGGUUAGUGCAAUGGCAUAAGCCAGCUUGACUGCGAGCGUGACGGCGCGAGCAGGUGCGAAAGCAGGUCAUAGUGAUCCGGUGGUUCUGAAUGGAAGGGCCAUCGCUCAACGGAUAAAAGGUACUCCGGGGAUAACAGGCUGAUACCGCCCAAGAGUUCAUAUCGACGGCGGUGUUUGGCACCUCGAUGUCGGCUCAUCACAUCCUGGGGCUGAAGUAGGUCCCAAGGGUAUGGCUGUUCGCCAUUUAAAGUGGUACGCGAGCUGGGUUUAGAACGUCGUGAGACAGUUCGGUCCCUAUCUGCCGUGGGCGCUGGAGAACUGAGGGGGGCUGCUCCUAGUACGAGAGGACCGGAGUGGACGCAUCACUGGUGUUCGGGUUGUCAUGCCAAUGGCACUGCCCGGUAGCUAAAUGCGGAAGAGAUAAGUGCUGAAAGCAUCUAAGCACGAAACUUGCCCCGAGAUGAGUUCUCCCUGAGACUUAGAGUCUCCUGAAGGAACGUUGAAGACGACGACGUUGAUAGGCCGGGUGUGUAAGCGCAGCGAUGCGUUGAGCUAACCGGUACUAAUGAACCGUGAGGCUUAACCUUACAACGCCGAAG